RNAcentral lists this long non-coding RNA (430 nucleotides) under Capsella rubella. Its description in RNAcentral is "long non-coding RNA (CRUB_LNC001353)". Lineage: Eukaryota; Viridiplantae; Streptophyta; Magnoliopsida; Brassicales; Brassicaceae. The record is from RNAcentral.
UAAAUCUAUGCAUGCAGUAAUAACUUACAGUUUUUUACCGUACCAAAUAUCUUACGUAAACAAUUUUUUUUUUUUUUUUUAUAAGACUGUUGGUAGUAUAAUUCAAGCGAUAAAUGAAUGGAGGUAUUUGCAUAAAUUAGGGCCAAUUCUGACAACUGACGAUACUGAACUGACAAGUGACUAAUUGUGUCAGCUCUCUCUCUGUCGGGACCACGCACACUCUUCUCAAACUCAGACUUAAUACACUUUUCUUUUUUUUUUUUUUUUUUCUUAGCUUUGAUGUUUCUAUUACGGAGGACGUCCUCUCUCCGUUUUGGUCCCUGUACGGCGCCGUUUCGAUUCUCUUUUUUUCCUUUAGGUCCCCACUUUGGGAUACAUCACAUGAUGUUCUUCACUCUCAUAGCCGUACGAUCUUGUAUUUUUGUACGAG